This 465-nucleotide ribosomal RNA is filed under the name Vreelandella stevensii. RNAcentral's name for it is "partial 16S ribosomal RNA". It matches the Rfam family "Bacterial small subunit ribosomal RNA", at positions 338 to 795 of the family's 1533-position model. Lineage: Bacteria; Pseudomonadati; Pseudomonadota; Gammaproteobacteria; Oceanospirillales; Halomonadaceae. The record is from RNAcentral.
CCUACGGGGUGCAGCAGUGGGGAAUAUUGGACAAUGGGCGAAAGCCUGAUCCAGCCAUGCCGCGUGUGUGAAGAAGGCCUUCGGGUUGUAAAGCACUUUCAGUGGGGAAGAAAGCCUUGGGGCUAAUACCCUCGAGGAAGGACAUCACCCACAGAAGAAGCACCGGCUAACUCCGUGCCAGCAGCCGCGGUAAUACGGAGGGUGCGAGCGUUAAUCGGAAUUACUGGGCGUAAAGUGCGCGUAGGCGGUCUGAUAAGCCGGUUGUGAAAGCCCCGGGCUCAACCUGGGAACGGCAUCCGGAACUGUCAGGCUAGAGUGCAGGAGAGGAAGGUAGAAUUCCCGGUGUAGCGGUGAAAUGCGUAGAGAUCGGGAGGAAUACCAGUGGCGAAGGCGGCCUUCUGGACUGACACUGACGCUGAGGUGCGAAAGCGUGGGUAGCAAACAGGAUUAGAUACCCGUGUAGUC